AAGAAUAAUAGUUAAAAUUAUAAUAUUUAUUUUGCAUAUAAAAGUUAUUUAAUUAAAUUUAUUUU
Molecule: transfer RNA, 65 nt
Filed under: Orthogonalys pulchella
Lineage: Eukaryota; Metazoa; Arthropoda; Insecta; Hymenoptera; Trigonalidae
Description: tRNA-Ala
Source: RNAcentral